GUUCCUGUGGUUGAGUCAGACAACGGCGGCUUUUCAGGUCGCAGGUCUUGGAGAGAAGCCAAGCAGGAAUU
This 71-nucleotide transfer RNA is filed under the name Eudyptula minor (Little blue penguin). RNAcentral describes it as "tRNA-Glu". Lineage: Eukaryota; Metazoa; Chordata; Aves; Sphenisciformes; Spheniscidae. The record is from RNAcentral.